GGGGGGAUUCCGGAGCGGUCAAACGGGGCAGACUGUAAAUCUGUUGGCACAGCCUUCGGAGGUUCGAAUCCUCCUCCCCCCA
Molecule: transfer RNA, 82 nt
Filed under: Chlorobiota bacterium
Lineage: Bacteria; Pseudomonadati; Chlorobiota
Description: Chlorobi bacterium (hydrothermal vent metagenome) tRNA-Tyr
Rfam family: tRNA
About the family: Transfer RNA (tRNA) molecules are approximately 80 nucleotides in length. Their secondary structure includes four short double-helical elements and three loops (D, anti-codon, and T loops). Further hydrogen bonds mediate the characteristic L-shaped molecular structure. tRNAs have two regions of fundamental functional importance: the anti-codon, which is responsible for specific mRNA codon recognition, and the 3' end, to which the tRNAs corresponding amino acid is attached (by aminoacyl-tRNA synthetases). tRNAs cope with the degeneracy of the genetic code in two manners: having more than one tRNA (with a specific anti-codon) for a particular amino acid; and 'wobble' base-pairing, i.e. permitting non-standard base-pairing at the 3rd anti-codon position.
Source: RNAcentral